AUUACCACCAUAUCAUGAUUCAUCAGCUCUAACAUGUGUGAGCCAACACUAUGCUUCUCCACUUCAGUACAUGGAUAUGACUCUUCUAUGUUUAAGCCACGACAACUUGGUGUAUUUAUGCCAAAGAUUUUUCGAGCACUAACACACCAAACCAACGCCUAUGGAGUGCUUUUGUAUACAACAAUCACCUGCUUCUUGCACCAUCCAUGGAUAAUCUACGUAGUUACAUAUUACUAUACUGAACAUCCUUUCAUAGACUACUUGUACACUGCCUUUUUAGAACCAUUGUAAAACCUCAUACGGUACGUCAGCGCCUUUGAAACAGA
RNAcentral lists this long non-coding RNA (326 nucleotides) under Zea mays. Its description in RNAcentral is "long non-coding RNA NONZMAT003001". The record is from RNAcentral. Lineage: Eukaryota; Viridiplantae; Streptophyta; Magnoliopsida; Poales; Poaceae.